This is a non-coding RNA of Mycena capillaripes, 92 nucleotides long. The record is from the annotation of a GenBank genome assembly. Lineage: Eukaryota; Fungi; Basidiomycota; Agaricomycetes; Agaricales; Mycenaceae.
GGCUCGGUGGCGGAUGGUCCGUGUCUGUGACAGUUAGUCAAUUAAAACUCCACUUAUGCAGAAAUCAGCUCGUUCGAUUCGAGCCCGAGCCA